UACGUAGGGGUCGAGCGUUGUUCGGAAUUACUGGGCGUAAAGCGCACGUAGGCGGCUUUGUAAGUUAGAGGUGAAAGCCUGGAGCUCAACUCCAGAAUUGCCUUUAAGACUGCAUCGCUUGAAUCCAGGAGAGGGGAGUGGAAUUCCGAGUGUAGAGGUGAAAUUCGUAGAUAUCCGGAAGAACACCAGUGGCGAAGGCGGCUCACUGGCCUGGUAUUGACGCUGAGGUGCGAAAGCGUGGGGAGCAAACAGG
RNAcentral lists this ribosomal RNA (253 nucleotides) under uncultured bacterium. RNAcentral's name for it is "partial 16S ribosomal RNA". It matches the Rfam family "Bacterial small subunit ribosomal RNA", at positions 524 to 776 of the family's 1533-position model. The record is from RNAcentral.